This 73-nucleotide transfer RNA is filed under the name Microbacterium sp. RNAcentral's name for it is "tRNA-Glu". It matches the Rfam family "tRNA". From Rfam's summary of the family: Transfer RNA (tRNA) molecules are approximately 80 nucleotides in length. Their secondary structure includes four short double-helical elements and three loops (D, anti-codon, and T loops). Further hydrogen bonds mediate the characteristic L-shaped molecular structure. tRNAs have two regions of fundamental functional importance: the anti-codon, which is responsible for specific mRNA codon recognition, and the 3' end, to which the tRNAs corresponding amino acid is attached (by aminoacyl-tRNA synthetases). tRNAs cope with the degeneracy of the genetic code in two manners: having more than one tRNA (with a specific anti-codon) for a particular amino acid; and 'wobble' base-pairing, i.e. permitting non-standard base-pairing at the 3rd anti-codon position. Lineage: Bacteria; Bacillati; Actinomycetota; Actinomycetes; Micrococcales; Microbacteriaceae. RNAcentral also lists the same sequence under 4 other names. The record is from RNAcentral.
GGCCCCAUCGUAUAGCGGCCUAGUACGCCGCCCUCUCACGGCGGUAACACGGGUUCAAAUCCCGUUGGGGUCA